This 253-nucleotide ribosomal RNA is filed under the name uncultured bacterium. Its description in RNAcentral is "partial 16S ribosomal RNA". It matches the Rfam family "Bacterial small subunit ribosomal RNA", at positions 524 to 776 of the family's 1533-position model. The record is from RNAcentral.
UACGUAGGCAGCGAGCGUUGUUCGGAGUUACUGGGCGUAAAGAGUGCGUAGGCGGUUUUCUAAGUUUGGUGUGAAAUCUCCCGGCUCAACUGGGAGGGUGCGCCGAAGACUGGAAGGCUUGAGUAUGGGAGAGGUAAGCGGAAUUCCUGGUGUAGAGGUGAAAUUCGUAGAUAUUCGCAAGAACACCAGUGGCGAAGGCGGCUCACUGGCCCGGUACUGACGCUGAGGUGCGAAAGCGUGGGGAGCAAACAGG